Molecule: ribosomal RNA, 936 nt
Filed under: uncultured Bacteroidota bacterium
Lineage: Bacteria; Pseudomonadati; Bacteroidota
Description: bacterial SSU rRNA
Rfam family: Bacterial small subunit ribosomal RNA
Source: RNAcentral
UGCCGCGUGCAGGAAGACGGCCCUACGGGUUGUAAACUGCUUUUCCGGGGGACGAAUAGGGCCGACGUGUCGGCCGAUGCCGGUACCCCGGGAAUAAGGAUCGGCUAACUCCGUGCCAGCAGCCGCGGUAAUACGGAGGAUCCGAGCGUUAUCCGGAUUUACUGGGUUUAAAGGGUGCGUAGGCGGGCUCCUAAGUCGGCGGUGAAAGUCUGCGGCUCAACCGUAGGAUUGCCGUUGAUACUGGGGGCCUUGGAUACGGUCGAGGCGGGUGGAAUGCGCGGUGUAGCGGUGAAAUGCUUAGAUAUCGCGCAGAACGCCGAUUGCGAAGGCAGCUCGCCAGGCCGUGAUUGACGCUGAGGCACGACAGCGUGGGGAUCGAACAGGAUUAGAUACCCUGGUAGUCCACGCCGUAAACGAUGAUGGCUGGGUGUUGGCGGUACACGGUCAGCGCCUGAGCGAAAGCAUUAAGCCAUCCACCUGGGGAGUACGGCCGCAAGGUUGAAACUCAAAGGAAUUGACGGGGGCCCGCACAAGCGGAGGAACAUGUGGUUUAAUUCGAUGAUACGCGAGGAACCUUACCCGGGCUAGAACGCCGAACGAACGGCCCCGAAAGGGGUCGGCCAGCGAUGGCGGUCGGCGAGGUGCUGCAUGGUUGUCGUCAGCUCGUGCCGUGAGGUGUCGGGUUAAGUCCCAUAACGAGCGCAACCCCUACCGCCAGUUGCCAGCGGGCAAUGCCGGGGACUCUGGCGGAACUGCCGGCGUAAGCCGCGAGGAAGGCGGGGAUGACGUCAAAUCAGCACGGCCCUUACGUCCGGGGCUACACACGUGUUACAAUGGCCGGUACAGAGGGCAGCCACCCCGCGAGGGGGCGCUAAUCUCGAAAGCCGGUCCCAGUUCGGAUCGGGGUCUGCAACCCGACCCCGUGAAGUUGGAUUC